Molecule: non-coding RNA, 806 nt
Organism: Cyanistes caeruleus (blue tit)
Lineage: Eukaryota; Metazoa; Chordata; Aves; Passeriformes; Paridae
Source: RefSeq, a predicted model, not a curated record
AAUUUGCAGGGGAAUUAAGGACAAUUUAGGCAUUCCAGAGAGCUUCAGCUGCCCACCUGCAUCAUCCCUUGGGCCAAGGGCAGUGAAGGGAUAGGCUUUGCCUAUCCCCCUGCUCCCUGGAAGAUGAAUGUGCACUGCAGAGAGCUGUUCCUAAGGCCAUCACAGGACAUUUGUACUGCAGCUGUCUGAGACCAGGGGAGCAAAAGAUGUUGCUGAAUUUACCAGCUCCUCUAAAUGUCCACGAGCUGUCCCUGUUUGGAUUGGAUUUUGCAUUGCAAACGAGGCAUUGAGCAGAACCAAAGCAGCUGCCUGGCAUUAAACAUGUUCCAAGCAUCCAUGCCAUGCCUGUGUGACAUCAAAUACCCUUCUGUCCCAGACAACCAGCUACACAGACAACUGAAUUAUCAGGAAUGAGGGCAAUGAAACUGUGGGCAAGUUCUUUUUGUAGGCUGAGAGUGGCAGUGGCUGGACUGUGACUGUAGAGUAUCAGGUUUGCCAAAACCCACAGUGCAGGCAGAACAGUGGUUGUUUUAGGAAGAUCACAGAAAUGGGGUUUCCUCAGGACACAAUCUUCCACAAAGCAGGAGCUUUUCUCUGGUAGACCUGACACAUUUCUUGACCUGACCCCAGCCAAAGAAUUCCUUCAGGUCUUCACCAGGAGAAGGUGAUAACCAUAGGACUGGAAAAACCAAGAGCACUCUUGAGAGAGGAACUGGCUGUGAGAACAGAGCAGGGCUCAGUCACAAACCCAGGGAAAAAGCAUUUAGGUGUGAGAGGACACCACCUCCAAAUCUGAGAGUCUUGGA